Molecule: transfer RNA, 66 nt
Filed under: Marmota monax (woodchuck)
Lineage: Eukaryota; Metazoa; Chordata; Mammalia; Rodentia; Sciuridae
Description: tRNA.Undet
Source: RNAcentral
GGUUGUGGCUCGGUGGUAGAGUGCCCGCCUAGCACCAGGAGGCACUGGGUUCAAUCCUCAGCACCA